AAAACUGAAAGCAGCGAUCUGAUUGGUUGCUAUGGGCAACUUUUCCUCUGGACAGGUCCACAAGAAAGGUGGGACAAUACAAAGAUUGUAGGGACUGAUGAUGUGGGGAAGAUACAGAUGUGGAAUGGCAUUAUAGGGGCACAGACUGCCAUGUAUUUGCUCUCCACUCCUUGCCCAGCCUUUUUGAGAUGGCCUCCAAGGUAGCUCUUUCUCUGUUCACCAUAUGAACUGUUAUGCCCAAUACUGAGAGAGAGAACAUAAAGCGGUGGAUGGUAUAAAGCUAAUGAAACAAGAGAAAAUAAUUACAAUACAUCAUGAAGAUGAGUAUACUUUGCUUUGGAAUUACAUUGAAUUAAACCUCAAUAAACCUGCCAUAAUGAAUGCAAUGUGCGGGAUAAAAAACAACAAUAAUCAAUAAAAAUACCGCGGAUCCUCGCAAUGUGAUGAUGCUGCCAACUAUUCGGAGCGAUCGCCUUUUCAAUUCAGUGCAAAGAGGUCACCGUUGUUCUUCAUAGAUAACAUAGUUGUCCAUAGACGAGAGCUGUUUUGUAGGAGCAGUAGUCUCUGGUGGAUUAAAGGGGUAUUCCAGGAAUUAUUUUUUAUUUGACUAUGCUACAGGGGCUGUAAAGUUAGUGUAGUUCAUAAUAUAGUGUCUGUUCCUGUGUGUGACGGUUUUCUCACAAUUCUUCUGUGAUUUUCACCCCAAUAUUUAUUUUUACCAGCAUACAAAAGUACUGUUGUCUCAGAUUUUUCCCAGGUUACAAUGCGGCCGAGACCUGACUCACUAGUCAGCUGAUGACAGGGAGCCUGUCUGGUUCAAUUGGUGGAGGGAUCACUUGGUGGGAGAGAGAUCAAUCUGCAACUAAUGCAACAGCUGGAGGCACCCUGAUUGAAAACCACACUGAUUUGAAUGGAUGCAGCUCAUUUAUGUUUCAAUGGGUGGGGUGGCUGAUGUGUGGGAGGGAGGAAGAUGAAAUUGUGGGAUUUGUAGUCAAAAAACGAAAAGUCAAACAGGAAAUACUAGUUCACAAACAGCUAGUCACAGUGUUAUGGUAAUCUUACAACACAGCCAUUUAGCCCCAAGACAAGCCCAGAUCCUUCCUAAGCAUGUCCAUUACUGUCUGCCAGGUAUGUACUAAAAUCAUCUUAUGGAGGAUAACCCCUUUAAAGUUGUCUACAUAAUACAUGGACCGCCAACAAUCUAAAUAAAUGCCAUACAAUAUGAUGUUUUUUGACUGAGGUGAAGUGUCCGGAGUGGCAUGGCUAAUCCUGACUUAAAUGUGUGGCACAAAGAAGAAAACACCUUUAAAUUUAAACAGGCACUGUUAAUUCAACUAAUUUUGCAUAAAUGAAUAGUACAUGCUUAUAUAAAAAAAAAUGGUAUAUCUUAUGAGAGAAAAAUGCCUCUGUCAGGAAGUUUUCAAGGGGACUUCAAUGCGAUGUCACAGAAUUUCUAAUUAAUAGACACGAGCCCGCUGAGAAAUG
Long non-coding RNA from Hyla sarda, 1485 nucleotides. RefSeq lists it as uncharacterized. The transcript has 3 exons. Lineage: Eukaryota; Metazoa; Chordata; Amphibia; Anura; Hylidae. The record is from RefSeq and is a predicted model, not a curated record.